GUGGGGAAUAUUGGACAAUGGGCGAAAGCCUGAUCCAGCCAUGCCGCGUGUGUGAAGAAGGUCUUCGGAUUGUAAAGCACUUUAAGUUGGGAGGAAGGGCAGUAAGUUAAUACCUUGCUGUUUUGACGUUACCGACAGAAUAAGCACCGGCUAACUCCGUGCCAGCAGCCGCGGUAAUACGAAGGGUGCAAGCGUUAAUCGGAAUUACUGGGCGUAAAGCGCGCGUAGGUGGUUUUGUAAGUUGGAGGUGAAAUCCCCGGGCUCAACCUGGGAACUGCCUCCAAAACUGCAUGACUAGAGUACGGUAGAGGGUAGUGGAAUUUCCUGUGUAGUGGUGAAAUGCGUAGAUAUAGGAAGGAACACCAGUGGCGAAGGCGACUACCUGGACUGAUACUGACACUGAGGUGCGAAAGCGUGGGGAGCAAACAGGAUUAGAAACCCUGGUAGUCC
Molecule: ribosomal RNA, 450 nt
Filed under: uncultured bacterium
Lineage: Bacteria
Description: partial 16S ribosomal RNA
Rfam family: Bacterial small subunit ribosomal RNA
Source: RNAcentral